UGGUUAAUGCCUGACUGCAGUCUUCUUGGGCAGUCACAUGACCCUUUAGUUUUUUGCGUCACUCCAUACCAUGAACUUAUUUGAACCUAUCUCUAUUUCAAAACACUUAACUUUUUUUGCAAAACACCCCUAACUUUAUAAAUAACAUCUGUAAGAACUGCCGCUAUACUUAAUUGUACACAUUUUCUGUGCGACGGUGAACAAGUUGUCGGUUUAAACCACACAGCCAAAGAGCAAUCCGUAAGAAUAAUCUAACUAAUUAAGGUAAUUACACAAGUAGCCUUAUUAAGACAUCCUGAUAAAGGAGAGGGAGGAAGCCACCUGACAAGGAGACGAGGAAAGGUAUGGAAAAGCUAUAGUCGGCUCGCAAGAUAGGAAGAAAUGACUGUCUACACGUCAGACGGGAGUUACCGAACACCCGUGACGUGGGCUAGUCCUCCCGUGACCCCGACCGCCAGCUCGCUCACUAUACCUCCCCCCCGUCGUCUCUGGCCCACUCCAACUCCCAGCUCCUCCUUAUACUGCGAACCAGGAAGCGGCUUGCCCUACUUACGCCACGCCGCGGAUUGGCUCUGGCGGUCCAGGGACAACCGGUGGGGUUGGGGGUCGGACAUGGCGCGAUAGGCUAAUGCUGAUGUCUGUCGCUGCGAUGAGGAAAGGAGGGGGUCCAUAAUAUUGAUCGCAGGUUGAAUUCCUGGGAUGAAGCUCGCGCUAGUAGGCUGUAAGGGUGGGCGAAUGCACAGUGAGCGUGUUGCUGACAAAAACGGUAUUUAUAUUCAAAUAAAUGUACGUGUUUGCUGUGCCAGUUGAAAUGUACUGUACUGCUGUUAGCACUAUCGCUGCACUUCUGCUUUCUAUCUCAUUGUGAUUAAAGUGAUGAGACACUA
Molecule: long non-coding RNA, 887 nt
Organism: Anguilla anguilla (European eel)
Lineage: Eukaryota; Metazoa; Chordata; Actinopteri; Anguilliformes; Anguillidae
Exons: 3
Source: RefSeq, a predicted model, not a curated record